Molecule: non-coding RNA, 74 nt
Organism: Paramuricea clavata
Lineage: Eukaryota; Metazoa; Cnidaria; Anthozoa; Malacalcyonacea; Plexauridae
Source: the annotation of a GenBank genome assembly
GCCUCUGUAACUCAGUUGGUUAGAGCGCUGCACCGGAAUCACACUGGCCACAUGUUCGAUUCCUGUCAGGGACC